Molecule: ribosomal RNA, 200 nt
Filed under: uncultured bacterium
Lineage: Bacteria
Description: partial 16S ribosomal RNA
Rfam family: Bacterial small subunit ribosomal RNA
Source: RNAcentral
GAUGAACGCUGGCGGCGUGCCUAAUGCAUGCAAGUCGCACGCAGUUUCCUUCGGGAGGCUGAGUGGCGCACGGCUGAGAAUCACGUGGGAACCUGCCCAUCCGUGGGGGACAACCCGCCGAAAGGCGUGCUAAUCCCGCAUACGCUCCCUGUUUGGGAGGAAAGCUUGGCAACAAGCGCGGACGGAAGGGCCUGCGGCCC